CGCCAUGGUGAGAGAAUUCCGCCGCCGGCACCCUGACAAGUUUGGUAGGUCGCCAGGUGGCUCCCAUUAGAGGGGGGAUACUGUCAGGAUCUGACGGCGCCCUGACCGGUCGACCUGCCAGUGUGUGUAUAUCUGUGUGCGUGUGUAUGUGUCUCUCCUACCGCCCUGUCUUCCCCUCCGGCUCCGCUGUGAUGUGUUACGAGGUAACCUAGCAACAGGCUACCUCCGACCCGGAAGUGCUGUCGCCCGGAGCUGCCGCACCUGCAGUCAAUCCACCAGCUGCUGCCAAUCAACUACCAUCUUCAGCAGGGCUACUUAAUGGUGUGGCUGAGCGACAGACAGCGCUGGAGUAUUGCACUAAGCCUGGGAUUGACGGAGGAUUUACGGACACUAAGGAAGCACUUGGAGGAGAGACGGGCACUCACUACCACACACGGGCUUACACGGAAGGAGGGACGCACUAUCACCAUUGUUGCACAUUUGAACUGUUGUCACCUUGCUGCACUGUAAAUAAAUGCACUGUCAUUAUUUCUGA
Maylandia zebra (zebra mbuna) is the source of this 535-nucleotide non-coding RNA. NCBI's taxonomy places the organism in Eukaryota, Metazoa, Chordata, Actinopteri, Cichliformes, Cichlidae. The record is from RefSeq and is a predicted model, not a curated record.